UUGCUGUGAUGACGAUCUUAGGACACCUUUGGAUUAACCAUGAAAUAAAACAUGUUCUGAGCAAC
Molecule: small nucleolar RNA, 65 nt
Organism: Onychomys torridus (southern grasshopper mouse)
Lineage: Eukaryota; Metazoa; Chordata; Mammalia; Rodentia; Cricetidae
Product: small nucleolar RNA SNORD58
Exons: 1
Source: RefSeq, a predicted model, not a curated record